Molecule: unclassified non-coding RNA, 3547 nt
Filed under: Limulus polyphemus (Atlantic horseshoe crab)
Lineage: Eukaryota; Metazoa; Arthropoda; Merostomata; Xiphosura; Limulidae
Description: d(2) dopamine receptor A-like, transcript variant X1
Source: RNAcentral
UGAAUACAUGACUUUGUUAACACAUAUUAUUCUAGUAUAAUUUACACAAAAUGAAAGUGAAUUUUUAUUUCUCUGUCUAAAUUCGUGUUUAUUUAAUAAAAGCCGGUCAACAGAAUCCUGAGAAAUGUGCACAUCCUGAAAGUUCGUUAGAUCAUUUUAACUACUAUACGAAUGAUGUUCAAAUUUGUUGAGAGUUAACUACCUGUGUCGUCGCCAGCUGUGGUUAUUCGUUCCCGAUUCACGUCAAUAUAUUCCACCUAUGGGAAAGUUGGUCUAGACUGACGUAACAUCCAAGUCCAUUGAAGUCGAGUGGCAUCCACGGCCACUACACAGUUCAGUGCUGCUGUUGCUGGAAAAUGUACCGCCCCACUUCUGUUUCCGUCACCAGUUCAUGACCAGAUAAUAAAACAGCUCAGUGAACAAUAUAUAUAAUUAUGAUAUCCAGUGCAAGCCCUUUAUCUAUCGAAAUCGUGUUAUACACAAAUCGAUCAUGAAGAAGAUGACCUUUAAGAAAGGGGAGUUCCAGUUCUACAAAAAGAAAUGAAAACAUUCACUUUUAAUAAGUUAGAUCUUAUUACAACACGCACGACUCUUGUUGGGCUCUAAUCUUCAAACCGUUAAAGAGAGCACUUGUGUUUUAUGUUAUUACAGCUCAAACAAACGCCAACCGGUAGAGCUAACAACCCUCGUUACAUCAAUAAACAAAACGCCUUCAUUUCAGGAAGAAUCGUCAACCUAUACCGUAACCAUCUUGUUUCACGGAAGAGUGUUGUACACUAAGAUCUCUCCUCGAAAUCAUGAUUUUUGUCUGACGUACAAGAAAACCCACAACAGGUAACAGCAAGACAGAUUACUGUUAGGGUUCAUUCUGCAACUGUCAGUUCGAUCAACCUUAGAGUAAUACAAAGACAGGAUUGUCUUAGUUUGUUUCACACAAAGAACUGGGCAAUGACUUGAAGAAAAAAAAAAGUACCUCUGUGAUCGAUCUACUACCAAACUGGUCUAGAGGUUUUUCAGUGUUAGUCGAAACGAGGGAUCAUAUGCUGAUCACUCAAUAAGAUUACUGACCACUUGAGAAAACCGUAGGAGAUAAAUUAAAAUCCAUGAACGAGAGCGGUAUCUACCUGGACAUACAUUCCGCUUCCGGCGUACAGAGAAAAAAUGACAAGUUACGGUCAACUACACAUGUCAUAUUUUAUCUGGAUUCAAACAAUACAUUGGAACUAACAACAGCAAAUGCUUCUGAUGAGAUUUCGUUAACAGGAGAAAUGAAUUUGACGAAACUUCAUGAGAACAAAACCAUGGAAAACAUUGUAGAAUCAAUGACGGUUACCAACAAUACGUCCUCUAAUUUAAUCGACGGAUAUAACUGGCUAAGCUUACUUCUUCUGAUGUUUGUUAUUUCAGGGGUCUUAGGAAACGUGCUAGUCUGUCUCGCGAUAUGUCGAGAACGUCGUCUCCAGAACGUCACUAAUUAUUUCCUGUUGUCGCUUGCUGUGGCUGACCUACUUGUCUGUAUGGUAGUCAUGCCAUUCGGGAUAGUGGAUCAGCUAUUUGGUUAUUGGCCCAUUGGAUCUUCGGCCUGUAAUGUCUGGGUAACAUCUGACGUUCUUGGUUGUACCUCGUCUAUUAUUCACAUGUGUUUUAUCUCACUUGGCCGCUACUUGGGGAUUCGCAAUCCCCUCAAAACUCGCGGAACCUCCAAAAAGGUCGUUACGAUGAAAAUUGCUAUAGUAUGGUUGGUUUCCAUGGUAAUAACGAGUCCAAUCACAGUGCUUGGAAACAUUGACUCUGAAAAUAUACACUCAACAAAUUAUACUUGUGCUAUAAAUAACCGCUUUUUCUUUGUAUUUGGUUCGUUGUCUGCCUUCUAUAUUCCCAUGUUCGUUAUGGUGACAUCCUAUGUCUUAACAGUCCGCUUACUGCAACAAAAGGCUAAGUACUGCGCAGAAAAAUCCAGUCGAAGGGUGCCCUUCAUUAACCGAUCUCGAAGGCACUCAUUACAAGAAACAUCAACCAACCCCCUUGGUACCACCUCCAAGAAAGAAAGCAAUACGUGCAACAAGUGUGGCGCUCGUCAACAUCAGGACAUGCAUGAAGAAGAAACAUUCCUAGAGCCUCAUCACGGAAACUCACGUGUAAGUUACGUAGACUUUCAUGGUUCCCUGAACAGGCAAAAUAACAUAAAAUUCAAAGUAAUAGGAGGAAUGAUUUGUGCUCUAGGUACCAGUUCGCAGGUGAUGAAUGAACAAAAGGCGACCAAAGUUCUUGGAAUUGUUUUCUUCUGCUUUGCUAUUUGUUGGACUCCCUUCUUUACGUUAAAUAUUCUGUUUCCAUUCAUAGACCCCACAACUUUUCCCGACUACCUCACAACUACUUUCCUGUGGUUGGGUUACGUGUCAUCCACUAUUAACCCUAUCAUUUAUACCAUCUUCAACAAAAAAUUUAGAAGAGCUUUCUGGAGACUCUUGUCGUGCACAUGUUGUUUAAACAACGUUAGGUCUCCCACCAUUAACGAAAUGGCUACAUGGCCAACAAAGUCUACACCUUUUGUAGUCAAAAGUGAUCCUCCGCCUGCUAGUCGCAUAGAACCAAUAUACUGAAUGUACUCAAUACUCUCUGCCUUGUCCUUAUCAAUAUAUUUAUUUUGCAUUAGAGCCAUCUUCCGCUUAUGCAGUAAAGAGAAGUAAUGCGAAUGUUUGCAUUAGAGCCAUCUUCCGCUUAUGAAGUAAAGAGAAGUAAUGCGAAUGUUUGCAUUAGAGCCAUCUUCCGCUUAUGCAGUAAAGAGAAGUAGUGCGAAUGUUUGCAUUACAGCCAUCUUCCGCUUAUGCAGUAAAGAGAAGUAAUGCGAAUGUAGUAAAAUCAGUUCUUCUCUCCCACGAAUUGCAGAAUAAAUCUGUUGAAAACAACUGAACGACUUACAACCUCCAAAUCCCAAUGUCCAGAACGUAUUCUCACAUUCCAAUCACACACAGUCAGUUUUCAACGUUUGAUAACUUAGUAAUUCAUUGCACGACGUAGUAAUGUAAUGUUUGUGUUGUAUUUUCACGGUUUCUUAAAGCUUAAGAAAAGAACAUUUAUGCACCUUUCUUGAACGUGAUUUUGUGAAGAUAUAAAGGACCAGCUUGGCAAAUUUUAUGUUUGAAAACUUUCCUUCAAGUUGGCAGCUUCUGUCCCAGUACAAUGAAAUACAAAAUACUCGGAAUAAAUAAUACUUUUAGGCUAGUGAGCAGUUGAAAGUGUAAGACUGAAAAAUUUCCAUCACAGAAAAUAUUGUUAUUCUAGCUAUAAAAGUUAAAAAAAUAUUAACAUUUAUUUAUAUUAAAAACGAUGGAAUAAUUGAUUCGGAAUAUUUAGAAGAGCUACACGAUAGAACAGCAAAGAGCUGGCAACAUUUUUGUAAAUAUGGAAUAAGAAAAAAGUUAUUGUUCUAGCCAUAUCAUGUUAAAAUAUCUAUAUGUACAGGUUUAGUCAUCAGAAUAACCUUAACAUGAUAAGACUGCUGAAAUUACAGCCUGCAAGUCAUAAACUACUUGAAUCUAUUAUA